UGGGGGAUAUUGCACAAUGGAGGAAACUCUGAUGCAGCGACGCCGCGUGAGUGAAGAAGUAUUUCGGUAUGUAAAGCUCUAUCAGCAGGGAAGAAAGGCUCGCAAGAGAGAUGACGGUACCUGAGUAAGAAGCUCCGGCUAAAUACGUGCCAGCAGCCGCGGUAAUACGUAUGGAGCAAGCGUUAUCCGGAUUUACUGGGUGUAAAGGGAGCGCAGACGGAUAUGCAAGUCUGAAGUGAAACCCCACGGCUCAACCGUGGGCUUGCUUUGGAAACUGUAGAUCUAGAGUACUGGAGAGGUAAGCGGAAUUCCUGGUGUAGCGGUGAAAUGCGUAGAUAUCAGGAAGAACAUCGGCGGCGAAGGCGGCUUACUGGACAGCAACUGACGUUGAGGCUCGAAGGCGUGGGGAGCAAACAGGAUUAGAUACCCUGGUAGUCCACGCGGUAAACGAUGAAUACUAGGUGUUGGGAGACAAAGUUUUUCAGUGCCGAAGCAAACGUGAUAAGUAUUCCACCUGGNAGUACGUUCGCAAGAAUG
RNAcentral lists this ribosomal RNA (537 nucleotides) under uncultured bacterium. RNAcentral's name for it is "bacterial SSU rRNA". It matches the Rfam family "Bacterial small subunit ribosomal RNA", at positions 355 to 896 of the family's 1533-position model. The record is from RNAcentral.